UACGGAGGGGGCUAGCGUUGUUCGGAAUUACUGGGCGUAAAGCGAACGUAGGCGGCUUUGUAAGUUAGAGGUGAAAGCCCGGGGCUCAACUCCGGAAUUGCCUUUGAGACUGCAUCGCUUGAACACGGGAGAGGUGAGUGGAAUUCCGAGUGUAGAGGUGAAAUUCGUAGAUAUUCGGAAGAACGGCAGUGGCGGAGGCGGCUCACUGGACCGUUGUUGACGCUGAGGUGCGAAAGCGUGGGGAGCAAACAGG
This 253-nucleotide ribosomal RNA is filed under the name uncultured bacterium. RNAcentral describes it as "partial 16S ribosomal RNA". It matches the Rfam family "Bacterial small subunit ribosomal RNA", at positions 524 to 776 of the family's 1533-position model. The record is from RNAcentral.